This 484-nucleotide ribosomal RNA is filed under the name uncultured bacterium. Its description in RNAcentral is "partial 16S ribosomal RNA". It matches the Rfam family "Bacterial small subunit ribosomal RNA", at positions 30 to 507 of the family's 1533-position model. The record is from RNAcentral.
AUUGAACGCUGGCGGCAGGCCUAACACAUGCAAGUCGAGCGGAUGAAGGGAGCUUGCUCCUGGAUUCAGCGGCGGACGGGUGAGUAAUGCCUAGGAAUCUGCCUGGUAGUGGGGGAUAACGUCCGGAAACGGGCGCUAAUACCGCAUACGUCCUGAGGGAGAAAGUGGGGGAUCUUCGGACCUCACGCUAUCAGAUGAGCCUAGGUCGGAUUAGCUAGUUGGUGGGGUAAAGGCCUACCAAGGCGACGAUCCGUAACUGGUCUGAGAGGAUGAUCAGUCACACUGGAACUGAGACACGGUCCAGACUCCUACGGGAGGCAGCAGUGGGGAAUAUUGGACAAUGGGCGAAAGCCUGAUCCAGCCAUGCCGCGUGUGUGAUGAAGGUCUUCGGAUUGUAAAGCACUUUAAGUUGGGAGGAAGGGCAGUAAGUUAAUACCUUGCUGUUUUGACGUUACCAACAGAAUAAGCACCGACUAACUUCGUG